GCCGGGCCGCCCGCGCCGUCACCCGGCAACGGGACUCAGCGCCCCGGCGGACCGCGCCGCCGGCUCCGCCCCGUAUCCCUCCGCCCAGAGGGCGGCCCGGAUCGCUGAUCCCGGAUCCGCGGGGCCGCGUCGGGCGGGCCAGAUGUGGGGGAGCCGUGAUCUGGGACAGCCGCGCUGCUGUGUCCGGUCCUAUCCCAUCCCAUCCCUUGCCAUUCCCAUCCCCGUCCGUAGGGCCCGAGCGCCGGCGAGCCGCCUCCGUGGCGGGGCCGCGGCGCAGGAAGGGCGGGGGGAGGGAGGAGGGGAAGUGUCCCUUUGCCCUGGUUGUCCAGCUUCUCGCCCGCCGGGACAGCGCCGCGCGCUCCGCCGGGCGCCUGAGGGGAGAAGGGAAGGGGCGGGCGAGGCCCUGGGAAGGCACCGCCCGGGCGGGCGGCGGGAGCGGCGCCGGCCUGGGGCGGCCGUGAGGCGGGAGAGCCGCCCGCGCCCCCUCGGGAGCGCUGGGGACGGGAACACCUAGGGUCCGGGCGGGAAUGCGAGGGAGGAAGCGGGGGAUAAUGAUGGAGCGUAGCCGUGGUGUUUGACAUGUGAGGUCCUUUUGAAAUCCUCCGAGCGACUCCGAGGAGGGCAAGGUUAACAAAUAAAAAAGUUUAUUUUGCUGCGGAAUGAAAGCCCGUCUGGGAGGGGAAGUCGUCUGUCAGGAGAUUGGUGCCAUUGAAAGUCGUGUUUAGUAGAUAUUGGCCACGUUCUCAGUCAAUGAAAAUGCUGAAAACGGAGUUGAUUGCAUUCUACUAGCUGACGAUCUGGCCACAGAUUUUGGAAUGAGUGUACUACAAGAGUCAUACCAUCUUUAUUAAUGAGCUAUAUAAAACAAGAAGUGAAAGAAACACAUGAAAUUGUAUUGAGUUCUUAAAAUAAUUGAAUUGAAGGUAUUAUUCUUUUCCUCGGCAUUUUCUGAACAAGAUACUCUGUUGCAGACCCUGCUAAUAGAGAAGAUCCAUUGUGUAUUAAUGUCUUGUUGUCCUGGAACUUUGACAUUAUGUUUUGACUGAUCAGAAAAGCUUUCUUAUCUGAUCCUAUGGUAAAAAACUGCAAAGCAAAGAGAUUGCAUGUUCUCAGACACUUAAAAAAACCCCCAAAAACAAAUCAACCAAAAAACCAAACUUUGUUUGAAAGCUGUGGCAGGUAAGGGAAUCUGUAUACAUGACUUAUAGGCUGUAAUAAGAUGAUGAUUAUUAUUAUUAUUAUUGUUGUUGUUGUUAUUAAUAAUCAUUAUGUUGAUAUUUUUGUGUGUGUGAACUGUUUUUCUGGGAGCAAAACAAAAAAUGGCCAUUGCUACUUUCUGAUAGAACUGAUAGGCUGAGAAGUGCUGCCAUUAAAAAUAACUAAUUCCAUAGAUAUCAAAGAACCAUUGAGUGGUUGAUAAUACCAGCAGCUGAAAAAGUCAAGUUUGACAAAAGCAGCAUUUAAGAAUGGUAUUGAAUCCAACCAAAAAUAUUAACUAUUUUGAGAUUAGAAAAAAAAUAAAUCUGGAAAUACAUGUGGAUCUCUAGUACCUGCCUUUCCAAAGCUGUAACUGCUCUAAGGAGAGAUUUCUAGCUAGCAUGAUUGACUACAGGGCUGUCAGCCUGAAAUAGAAAACACUUGAGCAGCAUGAGAGAAAAAAAGGGUAUUUUUCUGUCAAGAAGUAGCUAAUAUUUCGAUAUUUUGCAGCUACACUGAUAUGCUCUCUAAAGUAUCUUUCGUGAUAUUUUGGCUUCUAAUUCUGACUAAAUUAGAUUUAGAUGCUCAUUUGAAGAGUUACUCAUUGGAACUUGUUAAUGGGAAGAAAACUAUCUCACUUUCCAAGGCCAGUUUCAUUAGGAUUUUUUGUUGAAAUAGAAGUGUCUUUUGAGUUUGAUACUAUUUGAAUAUCAUCUGCCAAGAAACAAAAAAGCAGGCAUACUUCAACUGGCUGAACAAAAUUUGCUGUCUUGAUGUUAUAAAAAACCCACACACAUUUUGGCAGUUGAAGAGGUCAUGAAAUAAAGGAGCAGUUAAAUGUCUAGACCCAGCCAGCUUUUCCAGGUGUACAGAAUUCAUUUGUAGGGGUCAGUUCCCUGUAAGAAAGCACCAUGUUUUUUUCCCCUUAGGCUGACUGUAGGCCCUACUGUGGUCACAUAACACAAGGAGGAGCCACUAAAGACCAAGCUAAUCACACUAUGUAAGGUGGUGUAUCCAAGUGGAAUAUUAGAUGCCGGGAUUGGGCUGCAACUACAGACCACCGAUGGGAGUAUAAUCAAGAUGGAUCGCUCGAAUGGAAUUUGUCAAAGGGGUAAAAUGAAUGCAAUAGCAUUAAAUAAGAGAAUAGUUUAUCUCUCAGAAUAAAUAUUUUCUUCCUGAA
Molecule: long non-coding RNA, 2377 nt
Organism: Pseudopipra pipra
Lineage: Eukaryota; Metazoa; Chordata; Aves; Passeriformes; Pipridae
Exons: 2
Source: RefSeq, a predicted model, not a curated record